GUGCGAACAUGUAGGGUGUGAAAAUGAAAGGGGGCGAACAUGAGUGGGCGCAAACGUGAAUGGGCGCGAACGGACCCGAAUUCAGACUAUGUACCAGUGAGAAAUAUACAAGCCUUUCUACGGUAUUUAUUUGUACAAUUCAGGUAGUCUUGACCUAUUCAUUUGUCUUAAAAAAAACAGCCAGUUGUCACCUUCACUUCACACACACACAUAUACAAAUAUCAAUUAUAUGCUUACGAG
This 240-nucleotide long non-coding RNA is filed under the name Mytilus galloprovincialis (Mediterranean mussel). The record is from RNAcentral. Lineage: Eukaryota; Metazoa; Mollusca; Bivalvia; Mytilida; Mytilidae.